GAAAGAAAAAAAGGGAAAGCAACGCAGUAACAAAGACCUACAAGUACAGAAUCCUAGCUUAUCCACAAUAAAGAACAAUACCUGUGAACAGAGAACAAAGGUCCAGCCAAUUAAAGCAGGAAUUCAGAUACUAAAAUCAAACAAUUAUCAACCCACUAACUAAAACCAACUCAGAAAUAAGUUCAAACGACCAAAAGAAAAAAGACACUGUACAAUAAUAUAAACCCUAGAAUAACAAUGCAAAUGCAGAUAUCAUAAAACAAAUUGGAAGAAAAAAGAAAUUGACUCCAAAAACUAACAGAAGAUGCAAAAUAAGAAAA
Molecule: unclassified non-coding RNA, 320 nt
Filed under: Hevea brasiliensis (rubber tree)
Lineage: Eukaryota; Viridiplantae; Streptophyta; Magnoliopsida; Malpighiales; Euphorbiaceae
Source: RNAcentral